RNAcentral lists this long non-coding RNA (1412 nucleotides) under Linum usitatissimum (flax). RNAcentral describes it as "long non-coding RNA (LUSI_LNC005032)". The record is from RNAcentral. Lineage: Eukaryota; Viridiplantae; Streptophyta; Magnoliopsida; Malpighiales; Linaceae.
CCUCAUCCACGGACUAUAUCCAUCCCUAGCGGCCACCGCCAGCUCUAGCCAUAUGCCACAAAUCCAUCAGCCCUAGAACAACUCGAGGAACAUUCGACCUACAUGGCUAUCCCAGCUGCUGUCCCCCACCGGCUCCUCCCAGGAAAGUUCCGGAGACUCCUUCACGCCAAAAGUCAAUGGAGACCCACCUUGAUAUGGCAGUGACGUUACGGCUGCCAACCGUAAAGACAAAUCUCCCUUGAUACCGGUCAACCUAACGACAGUUUCAAUAAUGCGGAUGGCCUACAAUACGACCCUAUAAGCUCCGCUCAUAAGGGACCCCUAUGUCCCCCGGGAUUUGAACACUUCUGAAAAAAUCAGGGCCCACCCCAUACCUACGCUCAACGGUCAUCUGAGAUGGUCCAAGACAGAGCCACUGCAUAUGAUGCGGGACCAUCCAACCUCCGCCCAUGGGCCGUAAUGCCUACUAAGGCCUAAUCCUGACAUCCAAUGCCGCCUAUCGUGGAAUCUACUGAAGCCCAGGCCCAUAUCAGCUUUCUGGAGCUAUAAUAUACACACACAUGCCAAGGAUAAGGAAGCAGACCCUAGACAAGGCCAAAAUCCAUCCGUUCUGAGCCCGAUCCUUAGAUAUCUCUCCAAGGUUGGUGCAAUGGGUGAUGCAUCUACCCAGACUUAGGUGAUCCCUACCAAGAACGUUUCGGAAACGAAAGCAAGCAACCCCAACAAGGUGGCCGAUCGAAAGUGAACCAGCAAGUAAAAAGAGGAAGCUACAUCAGGAUGAAGUUAGUACAACUCUUCAGCUUGUCUCUCUGUCCAUAUCCCCUCCUAUAGCCAAAGUACCAAGGCCAAGAAUCUCAAAAUCCAAUUGUCCAGAAACAGAGGCAAACAGAGAAUGAUUAGUGUAAGUGAAAUCUAUGACAAAACUGAGAUACAAGAAACUGUUGUAGAGGAGGCGGUGACCAACCGUAUGCCACCACGCCAGGAUUGAAUGUCCUAGCUUGGAAUUGUAGGGGUGCAGAGCGAACCCUUACAAUCGAUCAUCUCCGAGAUCUUAACCGGAGCUCUCGCCCCGGGAUUGUUUUCCUAUCCGAAACCAAGAACGACGAUGAUUACAUGGAGAGGAAACGGUUCCAACUUGACUUUGCCAACUUUUACUAUGUGAGUCCUGCCUGUAUCAUUGAAGGAUUAUCACUAUGGUGGGUUAACGGUAUUAGUAUUAGAAUAAUCUCCUCCUCGAGGAACUAUAUCCAUGUUUUCAUAGACUACGAGGGUGCUUCUUUUGUACGUUUGUGUAUGCUCCCAAUAAUCCUAGUGCGAGAAGAGAUUAUUGGGACGUUAUUUCUAAUCUCCAUAGGGGCGAUAGCCCGUGAGUUAUAAUAGGAGAUAUUAAUGCAAUUUCUUUUAGUUACGAG